This 426-nucleotide ribosomal RNA is filed under the name uncultured Desulfovibrionaceae bacterium. RNAcentral's name for it is "bacterial SSU rRNA". It matches the Rfam family "Bacterial small subunit ribosomal RNA", at positions 356 to 774 of the family's 1533-position model. The record is from RNAcentral. Lineage: Bacteria; Pseudomonadati; Thermodesulfobacteriota; Desulfovibrionia; Desulfovibrionales; Desulfovibrionaceae.
GGGGAAUAUUGCACAAUGGCGGAAACUCUGAUGCAGCGACGCCGCGUGAACGAUGAAGGCCUUCGGGUCGUAAACCUCUGUCAGAAGGGAAGAAACCGCACCGUGCUAAUCAGCGGUGCAUUGACGGUACCUUACAAGGAAGCCACGGCUAACUCCGGGCCAGCAGCCGCGGUAAUACGGAGGGUGCAAGCGUUAAUCGGAAUUACUGGGCGUAAAGCGCACGUAGGCUGCUUUGUAAGUCAGGGGUGAAAUCCCACGGCUCAACCGUGGAACUGCCUUUGAUACUGCUUAGCUUGAAUCCUGGAGAGGGUGGCGGAAUUCCAGGUGUAGGAGUGAAAUCCGUAGAUAUCUGGAGGGACAUCAGUGGCGAAGGCGGCCACCUGGACCGGUAUUGACGCUGAGGUGCGAAAGCGUGGGGAGCAAACA